GCGGGGGUGGCGGAGCCUGGUCAAGCGAGGUAGCGGACUACACGCACGGGACUCAAGAUCCCGCUCCUUAGGGAUUCGUGGGUUCAAAUCCCACCCCCCGCA
RNAcentral lists this transfer RNA (102 nucleotides) under Nitrososphaerota archaeon. RNAcentral describes it as "Thaumarchaeota archaeon tRNA-Leu". It matches the Rfam family "tRNA". Rfam says of the family: Transfer RNA (tRNA) molecules are approximately 80 nucleotides in length. Their secondary structure includes four short double-helical elements and three loops (D, anti-codon, and T loops). Lineage: Archaea; Thermoproteati; Nitrososphaerota. The record is from RNAcentral.